Molecule: ribosomal RNA, 248 nt
Filed under: uncultured Prevotellaceae bacterium
Lineage: Bacteria; Pseudomonadati; Bacteroidota; Bacteroidia; Bacteroidales; Prevotellaceae
Description: partial 16S ribosomal RNA
Rfam family: Bacterial small subunit ribosomal RNA
Source: RNAcentral
UACGGAAGGUCCGGGCGUUAUCCGGAUUUAUUGGGUUUAAAGGGAGCGCAGGCCGCCCCUUAAGCGUGUUGUGAAAUGCCGCGGCUCAACCGUGGCACUGCAGCGCGAACUGGCGUCCUUGAGUACAGUUGAGGUGGGCGGAAUUCGUGGUGUAGCGGUGAAAUGCUUAGAUAUCACGAAGAACUCCGAUUGCGAAGGCAGCCUACCGUAGCGUUACUGACGCUGAGGCUCGAAGGUGCGGGUAUCGA